Molecule: ribosomal RNA, 477 nt
Filed under: uncultured bacterium
Lineage: Bacteria
Description: bacterial SSU rRNA
Rfam family: Bacterial small subunit ribosomal RNA
Source: RNAcentral
GACGAACGCUGGCGGUGUGCUUAAUACAUGCAAGUCGAACGAUAAGGCCCUUUCGGGGGUACAUAAGUGGCGGACGGGUGAGUAAUGCGUAGGUAAUCUGCCUCGAGGCGGGGGAUAACGUUGGGAAACUGACGCUAAUACCCCAUAUGUGAUAUCUUGAAAUAGAUAUUAUGAAAGUUCCGGCGCCUUGAGAUGAGCCUGCGUCUGAUUAGCUAGUUGGUGGGGUAAGAGCCUACCAAGGCGACGAUCAGUAGCUGGUCUGAGAGGAUGAUCAGCCACAAUGGGACUGAGACACGGCCCAUACUCCUACGGGAGGCAGCAGUAGGGAAUUUUGCGCAAUGGGCGAAAGCCUGACGCAGCAACACCGCGUGAGUGAUGAAGCAUCUUGGUGUGUAAAACUCUGUCAGUGGGGAAGAAUAAUGACUGUACCCACAGAGGAAGCAUCGGCUAACUACGUGCCAGCAGCCGCAGUAAUAC